RNAcentral lists this long non-coding RNA (713 nucleotides) under Homo sapiens (human). RNAcentral describes it as "HSALNT0039293". Lineage: Eukaryota; Metazoa; Chordata; Mammalia; Primates; Hominidae. The record is from RNAcentral.
CAGGCUGGUACUGAAGAGUGUCUGCAAGAGUCCUGUGAUGUAAUCCAUCUUCAGAUCUCUCAGCCAUGGAUACCAGCUUCUGCUCUGCUGGUGGUAGCAGGGAGGUUUGGGGACUGGAACAGAUCCACUACUGGCCUCCUUGCUCCUCAACUUGUAGACAGCCUGCCUAUCGUGGGACUUCACCUUGUGAUCCUGAGACCUCCAGCCUUUUAUCGGGGAAACUGUGAAUUGGGGAAAGGGAAAUCAUCAGACCUUUCAAGGAUUACUGGACACUGGCUCUGAGCUGACAUUAAUUCCUGGGGACCCAAAAGAUGUCACACUGGUUUAUUACACUGAUGACAUUAUGCUGAUUGGACCCAGUGAGCAAGAAGUAGCAAACACACUGGACUUACUGGACUUCCAGUAUGAUGCUGAAAGGGUUUGGUGAGAUGACAAAACAUUUUUGAAAGAAAUGAAUGAAGACCUAUAUGUAUGAAGGAGUGCACCAUGGUCAUGUUUUUCAAGGCAAUCCCUACUCACUGGAGCUACCACUGCUGCAAUUGUUAUAAUAUACAUUUGUUUUGCCUCACUAUGAAUCUGUUAUUAAUAGAAUUAAACAAUAUGUAUACUUUUGUGUCUGACUUAUUUCACUGAAAAUAAAGUUUUUGAGAUGCAUCCAUGCUAUGUAUUAUAUCAGUAUUUUAUUUUGCUUAAUUGAUAAGUAGUGCCCAUUG